This 1390-nucleotide long non-coding RNA is filed under the name Astyanax mexicanus (Mexican tetra). RNAcentral describes it as "lncRNA (ENSAMXG00005005856.1)". Lineage: Eukaryota; Metazoa; Chordata; Actinopteri; Characiformes; Acestrorhamphidae. The record is from RNAcentral.
CACACUAGCAAAAUUUGAGGAAACUACAAUACAUUAGCCAAUAGCAAUUGUGCUGACCAACGUCAUACUAGAAACAUACUCACCCAGAGAGAGCCCAGUGAGAGAGAGAACUACCCUGCUAGAGCUGCCCUAGAAAACAGUAAGCUAUUAUUGUGGAAAUGGUAGCAUUUGGGUGCAUGAACAGAUCAGACAUGAAGCAGCAGACCAUACAAAUGAAAACAAUCACUUAGUUUGGACAAACCUCAGGCUGUGCUGGUGUUUUUGCCUGCCCACCCGAAGCAGAAACCAGUCCAAAAUGGAUAACAAAACAUCAAUGUUUAAAACAGUGUAAACAAAAGCAGUAUCACUUGAAAUUCUCCCAACACUGGGACUGUAGGAACACGCACAUGUCUUCUUUGAUACAGGAGAAGACUCUUUUUGAGCUGCAGCCAAUGCAGCAUCACUAGGACCAAGGCAUUCAGAGAAAACAGCCAGAUCCCCAGCUCUGAUACAACGGCUAACAGAUUCCUGUGUCAGCCAGCAUCAAAAUAGGAGUGAUGAGGGGAGAGACAGUGCCCUCUACUCACCCAAAGGGAACACUGGCCACUGUGAUCUCUCUGACCGCAUCUAAUUCAUACUAACUAUCCUUAGGCCAUGGUUUCAGCUUCAAAAAACGUGACCAAUUUGCGUGGGAUAAAAAACUUAGCAUAAAUGACUGAGAUGGGAGUAGCUACUCGAUUUUCGCACUUUCAGUUGGAACCAAUACAGCGAAAAAUGAAAAACUAAUUCUGAGUGUUGGCGGUAGUCUAAAUUUAGUUCUACAGACUAUCGCAUUAGACUAAACGGGCUUAGUCAUUCCUCUGUUGCCUCGUUUACUGCAGGCGGGUGAUAAACGUUUACGAGUGAAUUGUUGCCCUCUUGUGGACCCAAAAGACAUUACAUUCAUUUGCAGUGUGUAAACACUGCACUGACCUCCCCGGCCUGAAAUGUUUCUCCACACAACUCAUACUAACACACACUCACACUUACACACACACACAAACGUACAAAUUACCAGUCCAACCACCCACACACACACACACACACACACAGACGCACAGAGGCCCUCACUAGACCCCCAAUUUACACUGACUCACUAACAAAAUUGCACACAGCUAGCACAGGCAGUCACCUGCUUGCUUCGAGCAUCUCCCCCUCCUCUUCCUGUUUGCACCCCCACUCCCCCACCCACCUCCCCCAAACCAUUUUUUUCCUUUGGUGCUGGGCGGUUGCCAUGGCAACCAGCAUCAGGGAGCAGAUUGCCGGGGGUCUGAGGUCAAAUAUGUUUUCUGGAGCCCCUGCUACAGUCAGAGCCGUGGCAGCGCUCACAUUCGGUUCAUCUGUAACCUUGACUUUGGCGGUGAGCAACUGA